GUGGGUGUGGGAGGCUCAGGGCCCCUGCUACUCACUCACUCAGGUGUUCUUUGUCUUUCCACAG
Mus spicilegus (steppe mouse) is the source of this 64-nucleotide microRNA precursor. NCBI's taxonomy places the organism in Eukaryota, Metazoa, Chordata, Mammalia, Rodentia, Muridae. The record is from Ensembl.